Molecule: RNA transcript, 2093 nt
Organism: Mangifera indica (mango)
Lineage: Eukaryota; Viridiplantae; Streptophyta; Magnoliopsida; Sapindales; Anacardiaceae
Gene name: bZIP transcription factor TRAB1
Exons: 6
Source: RefSeq, a predicted model, not a curated record
ACUUCAAUUGAAAGAGAAACGAAAGAGAAGAGACAUCAGACACUUGGCGCAUCCGCCAAGCCCUAAGACGCUGAGUUGAGGGAAGCAGGCAAGCAAUUACAAACGCAGCCAAAGGAGGUACCCGAUUGUGAAAAAAAGUCGUUGAAAUAGAAUUAAAAAACUGUAAUACAAAUAGCCAUAGCAUAAAAGGGUUUGGAAGCUCAAUUUCAUGGUUGAUUAUUGCUUUUCAUUAUAAAUUUGAAGUUAAGAAAGAUAAAGAGUGUGAAGUUUAUCAGAUUCGCUUUGGUUGAAGUAUCAGAUUCUUAGCUUAAAUCAGUUUCUGACACUGUUUGAUUCAGAUAUUUACCAAAAUGGGGAGUAACAUAAACUUCAAGAGUUUGGGUAAUGAACCACCGUAUGACCCCAGUAAGCCACUAGCUGGGAAUUUUCCGUUAACUCGGCAACCGUCGAUCUAUUCAUUAACGUUUGAUGAGUUCCAAAGCACUGUGGGCGGUAGUUUGGGUAAAGAUUUUGGAUCAUUGAACAUGGAUGAGUUGUUGAAGAAUAUAUGGACUGCAGAAGAGACACAAAGCAUAGUAGCCUCUUCUAGUGGCAACCAAGAUGGAACUAAUGGUUUGCAAAGACAAGGAUCUUUAACGUUGCCCAGAACUUUAAGUCAAAAGACUGUUGAUGAGGUGUGGAAAGAUAUUUCUAAAGAGUAUGUUGUGAAGGAUGGAAGUGGCGGAGGUGGUAAUCAAGGAUCUAAUAAUAUGCCAAAAAGACAACAGACUUUAGGGGAGAUGACACUGGAGGAAUUUUUAGUUAGAGCUGGGGUUGUUAGGGAAGAUAUGCAUUUGGGUUCUGGCUUUGGAAAAAUUGAUAAUAAUGCUGGGUUUUUUGGUGAUUUACCACGGUCAAGUAAUAAUACUGGAUUUGGGUUUCAGCAGAUGGUUAAGGGUGCAAAUUUGAUGGGCAAUGAAAAUUUGGACAAAGGUAAUCAGAUUUCCAUUCAGUCGUCAAAUUUGCCUUUGAAUGUUAACGGGGCUAGAUUGAGUCAACACCCACUAGCUCAACAACAGCAACAGCAACAACAGCCACAACACCCUCAAAUAUUUCCCAAGCAGCCAACAGUGGCAUAUCAGAUGCCUUUACAAAGUAGUCCCGGAAUUAAGAGUGGGAUUGUGGGUGUAGGUGAUCAGACGAUGACUAGCUCUUUGAUUCAGGGUAGUGCAGUUCAGAAUGCAGGGAUGGGAAUGAUUGGCUUGGGAGCUGGGCCAGUUGUUGCAACAGGGUCACCUGCAAAUCAGUUGACUUCAAAUGGGAUUGGGAAGAGUAAUGGAGAUACAUCUUCAGUUUCUCCUGUUCCUUACAUGUUUAAUGGAGGUUUACGGGGUAGGAAAUUCAAUGGGAAUGUGGAGAAGGUUGUUGAGAGGAGGCAGAGGAGAAUGAUAAAAAAUAGAGAGUCAGCUGCAAGGUCUCGGGCUCGCAAGCAGAUGAAAGAUUUUGAGAAGUCAAGGUCUUGGAAGUUAAUAAGGAUCCAGUUUGUUACAAGGCAUAUACAAUGGAAUUAGAAGCAGAAGUUGCAAAGUUAAAAGAGGAGAACCAAGAACUGCAGAGGAAACACGCAGAAAUCAUGGAAAUUCAGAAAAACCAGGCGUUGGAGAUGAUGAAUGCACAACAGGGAGCAAAGAAACGGUGCUUGAGACGGACACAGACUGGUCCAUGGUGAAGUGAGGGGCGGGAUUAUGGUGCUGGAACUUUUGUAUGGUAGUAGCUGUACAUAUUUGAGGCAAAAACGUGUUCAGCUGUAGAUUAAAGAGAUGAAAAUUUCUUUGUGCCGUAGAUUAGGUCAUCUAAUAUCUAAUAUAUAUUUUAUCUGUUUCUAUCUGAAUAUCCUGAUUAGGCAGGGGAAAAAGAGCAAAAUAUGUGCAACUUGUUAGUUACCAUGCGAUAUAUAUGUUCAUAGUAUGUUGGGCUUCCUAUAAUAUUUUACUCUGUAGCAGUUUUCGGUACCGACACCAUAUUUUGUUGGUGUUGAAACUGAAACACAAACAGAAACAGAAACAGCAACAGGCCCUCAAUGUUUUAAAUUUUACUGCCAAUGAUUUCUCUAC